Molecule: long non-coding RNA, 353 nt
Organism: Chinchilla lanigera (long-tailed chinchilla)
Lineage: Eukaryota; Metazoa; Chordata; Mammalia; Rodentia; Chinchillidae
Exons: 3
Source: RefSeq, a predicted model, not a curated record
CGGUGCUGUUUGCUAGGAGUCCCCACUGUAUAUCCCCUUCUUCCUCCUAAAACCACAUUCAUAAAACAGAAAGUCAUCCAGUGACAACCAAGGUGCCCAUAACCUGUGUCUGCGGAACCAACUCUAAUUCACAUGCUGAUGAGGAACUGAUCUAGGGGAGAUGUGGACCAAACGACAUGGCACCCGCGAGCUGGCUGUCCUCUCUUGUGCUGUUUGCGUUUGUGCUUCUGAAUGAUAAAGUUCAAGAACAAGCCGAUGGGUUGCCCCAGGUCCAGUGUGACACAACACAUUGCUGUCACCUACACACAGACAUCAGGCCCCUCAGCAGUGGUGAAGAAGUCCGCCCAGGUCCU